GUGCCAGCAGCCGUGGUAAUACGAAGGGGGCUAGCGUUUCUCGGAAUUACUGGGCGUAAAGGGCGCGUAGGCGGAUAGUUUAGUCAGAGGUGAAAGCCCAGGGCUCAACCUUGGAAUUGCCUUUGAUACUGGCUAUCUUGAGUUCGGCGGAGGUGAGUGGAAUGCCGAGUGUAGAGGUGAAAUUCGUAGAUAUUCGGCGGAACACCAGUGGCGAAGGCGACUCACUGGCCCGAUACUGACGCUGAGGCGCGAAAGCGUGGGGAGCAAACAGGAUUAGAAACCCCCGUAGUCC
This 292-nucleotide ribosomal RNA is filed under the name uncultured bacterium. RNAcentral's name for it is "partial 16S ribosomal RNA". It matches the Rfam family "Bacterial small subunit ribosomal RNA", at positions 505 to 796 of the family's 1533-position model. The record is from RNAcentral.